UCGAGAAUAAUUCACAAUGGGGGCAACCCUGAUGGUGCAACGCCGCGUGGAGGAUGAAGGUCUUCGGAUUGUAAACUCCUGUCAUCUGGGAGUAAGACCUGGCUGUGAAUAGCAGACAGGGUUGAUAGUACCAGAAGAGGAAGGGACGGCUAACUUCGUGCCAGCAGCCGCGGUAAUACGAAGGUCCCGAGCGUUGUUCGGAAUCACUGGGCGUAAAGGGAGCGUAGGCGGCGUGGUAAGUCAGAUGUGAAAUCCCGGGGCUCAACCCCGGAACUGCAUCCGAUACUGCCGUGCUAGAGGAUUGGAGAGGUAGCUGGAAUUCUUGGUGUAGCAGUGAAAUGCGUGGAGAUCAAGAGGAACACUCGUGGCGAAAGCGAGCUACUGGACAAUAUCUGACGCUGAGGCUCGAAGGCCAGGGUAGCGAAAGGG
Molecule: ribosomal RNA, 429 nt
Filed under: uncultured bacterium
Lineage: Bacteria
Description: bacterial SSU rRNA
Rfam family: Bacterial small subunit ribosomal RNA
Source: RNAcentral